This 460-nucleotide ribosomal RNA is filed under the name uncultured bacterium. Its description in RNAcentral is "partial 16S ribosomal RNA". It matches the Rfam family "Bacterial small subunit ribosomal RNA", at positions 338 to 795 of the family's 1533-position model. The record is from RNAcentral.
CCUACGGGAGGCUGCAGUGGGGAAUAUUGGUCAAUGGACGAAAGUCUGAUCCAGCAAAGCCGCGUGAAGGAUGACUGCCCUCUGAGUUGAAAACUUCUUUUUUAAAGGAGUAAAACGAGGCACGUAUGCCUUUUUGCUUCUACUUUAUGAAUAAGGAACGGCUAACGGCGUUCCAGCAGCCGCGGUAAUACGGUGGAUCCGAGCGUUAUCUGGAUUUAUUGGGUUUAAAGGAAGAGUAGAUGGGUUGUUAUGUUAGUUGUGAAAGUUGGCGGAUCAACCGGAAUAGUGCAAUUGAUACUGGCAGUCUUGAGUACAGUUGAGGUAGGCGGAAUUCGUGGUGUAGCGGUGAAAUGCUUAGAUAUAACGAAGAACCCCGAUGGCGAAGGCAGCUUACUAAACUGUAACUGACAUUGAGGCUCGAAAGUGUGGGUAGCAAACAGGAUUAGAUACCCGAGUAGUC